Molecule: non-coding RNA, 40 nt
Filed under: Plasmodium falciparum 3D7
Lineage: Eukaryota; Apicomplexa; Aconoidasida; Haemosporida; Plasmodiidae
Source: RNAcentral
AUGUCGAUGGGUGUAAUAUUAAUGGAUCAUUUGUUUCUUU